UCGAGAAUCUUCGGCAAUGGGCGAAAGCCUGACCGAGCAAUGCCGCGUGCGGGAUGAAGGCCUUCGGGUUGUAAACCGCUGUCAGUUGGGAGGAGGGGUCCGUGAAGAGCGGAUCUUGACCUAUCUUCAGAGGAAGUCCGGGCUAAGUUCGUGCCAGCAGCCGCGGUAAUACGAACCGGACAAACGUUAUUCGGAAUUAUUGGGCUUAAAGGGUGCGUAGGCGGUGCGGUAAGUGCGGUGUGAAAUCCCACGGCUCAACCGUGGAAUUGCGCUGCAUACUGCCGUGCUAGAGGGAGACAGGGGUAAGCGGAACUGAUGGUGGAGCGGUGAAAUGCGUUGAUAUCAUCAGGAACACCAGUGGCGAAAGCGGCUUACUGGGUCUCUUCUGACGCUGAGGUACGAAAGCUAGGGUAGCGAACGGGAUUAGAUACCCGGGUAGUCC
This 442-nucleotide ribosomal RNA is filed under the name uncultured prokaryote. Its description in RNAcentral is "bacterial SSU rRNA". It matches the Rfam family "Bacterial small subunit ribosomal RNA", at positions 355 to 796 of the family's 1533-position model. The record is from RNAcentral.